UUCUACCAUGCAAGUCGAGCGGAUGACAAGAGCUUGCUCUUCGAUUCAGCGGCGGACGGGGUGAGUAAUACCUAGGAAUCUGCCUGGUANUGGGGGACAACGUUUCGAAAGGAACGCUAAUACCGCAUACGCCCUACGGGGGAAAGCAGGGGACCUUCGGGCCUUGCGCUAUCAGAUGAGCCUANGUCGGAUUANCUAGUUGGUGAGNUAAUGGCUCACCAAGGCGACGAUCCGUAACUGGUCUGAGAGGAUGAUCAGUCACACUGGAACUGAGACACGGUCCAGACUCCUACGGGAGGCAGCAGUGGGGAAUAUUGGACAAUGGGCGAAAGCCUGAUCCAGCCAUGCCGCGUGUGUGAAGAAGGUCUUCGGAUUGUAAAGCACUUUAAGUUGGGAGGAAGGGUACUUACCUAAUACGUGAGUAUUUUGACGUUACCGACAGAAUAAGCACCGGCUAACUCUGUGCCAGCAGCCGCGGUAAUACAGAGGGUGCAAGCGUUAAUCGGAAUUACUGGGCGUAAAGCGCGCGUAGGUGGUUCGUUAAGUUGGAUGUGAAAUCCCCGGGCUCAACCUGGGAACUGCAUCCAAAACUGGCGAGCUAGAGUAGGGCAGAGGGUGGUGGAAUUUCCUGUGUAGCGGUGAAAUGCGUAGAUAUAGGAAGGAACACCAGUGGCGAAGGCGACCACCUGGGCUCAUACUGACACUGAGGUGCGAAAGCGUGGGGAGCAAACAG
Molecule: ribosomal RNA, 733 nt
Filed under: Pseudomonas sp.
Lineage: Bacteria; Pseudomonadati; Pseudomonadota; Gammaproteobacteria; Pseudomonadales; Pseudomonadaceae
Description: bacterial SSU rRNA
Rfam family: Bacterial small subunit ribosomal RNA
Source: RNAcentral